Molecule: ribosomal RNA, 478 nt
Filed under: uncultured bacterium
Lineage: Bacteria
Description: partial 16S ribosomal RNA
Rfam family: Bacterial small subunit ribosomal RNA
Source: RNAcentral
GACGAACGCUGGCGGCGUGCUUAACACAUGCAAGUCGAACGGUAAGGCCCUUCGGGGUACACGAGUGGCGAACGGGUGAGUAACACGUGGGUGAUCUGCCCUGCACUUCGGGAUAAGCCUGGGAAACUGGGUCUAAUACCGGAUAGGACCACUGCCUGCAUGGGGGGUGGUGGAAAGCUUUUGCGGUGUGGGAUGGGCCCGCGGACUAUCAGCUUGUUGGUGGGGUGAUGGCCUACCAAGGCGACGACGGGUAGCCGGCCUGAGAGGGUGACCGGCCGCACUGGGACUGAGAUACGGCCCAGACUCCUACGGGAGGCGGCAGUGGGGAAUAUUGCACAAUGGGCGCAAGCCUGAUGCAGCGACGCCGCGUGAGGGAUGACGGCCUUCGGGUUGUAAACCUCUUUCAGCACCGACGAAGCGCAAGUGACGGUAGGUGCAGAAGAAGGACCGGCCAACUACGUGCCAGCCGCCGCGGUAA